Molecule: long non-coding RNA, 1132 nt
Filed under: Capsicum annuum
Lineage: Eukaryota; Viridiplantae; Streptophyta; Magnoliopsida; Solanales; Solanaceae
Description: long non-coding RNA (CANN_LNC000981)
Source: RNAcentral
UUGGAUGGUUUUAGACGGGGUAGGGGUAGACCGAAGAAGUACUGGGGUGAGGUGAUUAGGCGGGACAUGGAACAGUUACAGCUCACCGAGGACAUGACCCUAGAUAGGAAGGUCUGGAAGACGCGAAUUACGGCAGAGGAUUAGGGCCUGUUCGGGUCGCUAAUGUAGGGAGGUAAUUGGUGGGGGUGUAUUCCUGGUAUGAUUCCGUAUUCAAUGUUCUGUUCCGUGUUCCGUGUUCUAUGUUUGUUACGAAUCUGUGUGCUUUCCUCUGCUUUAUAUUACUUAUGGGUGCCGUAUUUAUGUUAUGUAAUCUGCUUCUGUGCUUUACUAUGUGUUUGUGUGAUAUCUUGUGCCUUGAGCCGGGGGUCUUUCGGAAACAGCCUUUCUACUUCAUCAGAGGUAGAGGUAUGGACUGCGGACAUCUUACCCCCCCCAGCCCCCACAAAGUGGGAAUACACUGGGUUUGUUGUUGUUGUACUUUUAAUUAUUAGUUAUUGUGAUUUAUAGACUUUUUCUUCUGCCCCAAUUUAUGUAACCAAUUAUUUUAAGUUGUUAAUUAUUAGGGGUGAAGUGAUUAGGCGGGACAUGGAACAGUUACAGCUCACCGAGGACAUGACCCUAGAUAGGAAGGUCUGGAAGAUGCGAAUUACGGCAGAGGAUUAGGGCCAGUUCGGGUCGCUAGUGUAGGGAUUUAAUUGGUGGGGGUGUAUUCCUGUUAUGAUUCCGUAUUCAAUGUUCCGUGUUCCGUAUUCCAUGUUUAUUACGAAUAUGUGUGCUUUCCUCUGCUUUAUAUUCCUGCAUUCAUGCUUUACUCUGUUUUAUAUUCCUUAUGGGUGCCGUAUCUAUGUUAUGUCAUCUGCUUCUGUGCUGUACUAUGUGUUUGUGUGAUAUCUCGUGACUUGAGCCGGGGGUCUUUCGGAAACAGCCUUUCUACCUCAUCAGAGGUAGAGGUAUGGACUGCGUACAUCUUAAACCCCCCCAGACCCCACUUGUGUGAUAUCUCGUGACUUGAACCGGGGGUCUUUCGGAAACAGCCUUUCUACUUUAUCAGAGGUAGAGGUAUGGACUGCGUACAUCUUACCCCCCCCAGACCCCACUAAGUGGAAAUACACUGGGUUUGUUGUUGUUGUUG